GACGAACGCUGGCGGCGUGCUUAACACAUGCAAGUCGAACGGUGAAGGGGAGCUUGCUCCCCGGAUCAGUGGCGAACGGGUGAGUAACACGUGGGCAACCUGCCCCAGACUUCGGGAUAACGCUUCGAAAGAGGUGCUAAUACCGGAGACGAACUCCUUGGGCAUCCUGUGGGUUGGAAAGUUUUUCGGUCUGGGAUGGGCCCGCGGCCUAUCAGCUUGUUGGGGAGGGAACGGCGCACCAAGGCGACGACGGGUAGCCGGCCUGAGAGGGCGACCGGCCACACUGGGAAUGAGACACGGCCCAGACUCCUACGGGAGGCAGCAGUGGGGAAUAUUGGACAAUGGGGGCAACCCUGAUCCAGCAAUGCCGCGUGUGUGAAGAAGGCCUGAGGGUUGUGAAGCACUAUCGUUGGGGAGGAGGGUUUAUUGGUUAAGAGCUGAUGAACUGGACGUUACCUGAAGAAGAAGCACCGGCUAA
RNAcentral lists this ribosomal RNA (478 nucleotides) under uncultured bacterium. RNAcentral describes it as "partial 16S ribosomal RNA". It matches the Rfam family "Bacterial small subunit ribosomal RNA", at positions 28 to 500 of the family's 1533-position model. The record is from RNAcentral.